This 223-nucleotide ribosomal RNA is filed under the name uncultured Glomeromycotina. RNAcentral's name for it is "partial 28S ribosomal RNA". Lineage: Eukaryota; Fungi; Glomeromycota. The record is from RNAcentral.
AAAAUGGCUGGAGGAAUGUAGCUUCGAUCUUGUAUUGAAGUGUUAUGCCUCUGGUAGAUGUGGUGAUUGGGACUGAGGAUUGCAACGAAUACCUUCUGGGCUAUCGUCUGAUCUCUGAAAGUUGCUUAGGUGCCGAAAGCGUGCUUACGGUUAUCAAAGUCGAUGUCAAUAGGUUAGAAUGGGUUAAAUUCGUUAAGGAUGUUGACGUAAUGGCUUUAAACGA